AGAGUUUGAUCAUGGCUCAGGACGAACGCUGGCGGCGUGCUUAACACAUGCAAGUGGAGCGACGAACCAGGGCUUGCCCUGGGGCAGAGCCGCGAACGGGUGAGUAACACGUGGGUAACCUGCCCCGAUGACUGGGACAACCCGAGGAAACUCGGGCUAAUACCGGAUGUGCUCCCUCACAUCAGUGAGACGAGUAAAGGAAGCUUCGGCCUCCGCAUUGGGAUGGGCCCGCGGCGCAUUAGCUUGUUGGUGGGGUAACGGCCUACCAAGGCAACGAUGCGUAGCUGGUCUGAGAGGACGAUCAGCCACACUGGGACUGAGACACGGCCCAGACUCCUACGGGAGGCAGCAGUGGGGAAUCUUGCGCAAUGCGCGAAAGCGUGACGCAGCAACGCCGCGUGAGGGAAGACGGCCUUCGGGUUGUAAACCUCUUUCAGUUGGGACGAAAGGUCGGGCGGUUAAUAGCCGUUCCCGACUGACGGUACCUUCACAAGAAGCCCCCGGCUAACUACGUGCCAGCAGCCCGCGGUAAUACGUAGGGGGCAAGCGUUGUCCGGAAUCAUUGGGCGUAAAGAGCGUGUAGGCGGCUUGGUAAGUCGGCUGUGAAAGUCGGGGGCUCAACCCUCGAAUGCCGGCCGAUACUGUCAAGCUAGAGUCCGGAAGAGGCGAGUGGAAUUCCUGGUGUAGCGGUGAAAUGCGCAGAUAUCAGGAGGAACACCAAUGGCGAAGGCAGCUCGCUGGGAUGGUACUGACGCUGAGACGCGAAAGCGUGGGGAGCAAACAGGAUUAGAUACCCUAGUAGUCC
RNAcentral lists this ribosomal RNA (805 nucleotides) under uncultured bacterium. Its description in RNAcentral is "bacterial SSU rRNA". It matches the Rfam family "Bacterial small subunit ribosomal RNA", at positions 8 to 796 of the family's 1533-position model. The record is from RNAcentral.